RNAcentral lists this ribosomal RNA (438 nucleotides) under uncultured Ehrlichia sp. RNAcentral describes it as "bacterial SSU rRNA". It matches the Rfam family "Bacterial small subunit ribosomal RNA", at positions 1 to 457 of the family's 1533-position model. The record is from RNAcentral. Lineage: Bacteria; Pseudomonadati; Pseudomonadota; Alphaproteobacteria; Rickettsiales; Anaplasmataceae.
UUAUGAGUUUGAUCCUGGCUCAGAACGUACGCUGGCGGCAAGCCUAACACAUGCAAGUCGAACGGAUAGCUACCCAUAGCUUUUUUAGCUAUAGGUUUGCUAUUAGUGGCAGACGGGUGAGUAAUGCAUAGGAAUCUACCUAGUAGUAUGGAAUAGCCAUUAGAAAUGAUGGGUAAUACUGUAUAAUCCCUGCGGGGGAAAGAUUUAUCGCUAUUAGAUGAGCCUAUGUUAGAUUAGUUAGUUGGUAAGGUAAUGGCUUACCAAGACUAUGAUCUAUAGCUGGUCUGAGAGGACGAUCAGCCACACUGGAACUGAGAUACGGUCCAGACUCCUACGGGAGGCAGCAGUGGUGAGAGUUUGAUCCUGGCUCAGUACUCUAUCCGGCGAGAAUGAUUUCAUGAAGUUCCAAAGCUGAAUGUUGGGUGAAGCUUUAGCUGU